GAUGAACGCUGGCGGCGUGCUUAACACAUGCAAGUCGAACGAUGAAGCCCAGCUUGCUGGGUGGAUUAGUGGCGAACGGGUGAGUAACACGUGAGUAACCUGCCCUUAACUCUGGGAUAAGCCUGGGAAACUGGGUCUAAUACCGGAUAGGAGCGUCCACCGCAUGGUGGGUGUUGGAAAGAUUUAUCGGUUUUGGAUGGAUUCGCGGCCUAUCAGCUUGUUGGUGAGGUAAUGGCUCACCAAGGCGACGACGGGUAGCCGGCCUGAGAGGGUGACCGGCCACACUGGGACUGAGACACGGCCCAGACUCCUACGGGAGGCAGCAGUGGGGAAUAUUGCACAAUGGGCGCAAGCCUGAUGCAGCGACGCCGCGUGAGGGAUGACGGCCUUCGGGUUGUAAACCUCUUUCAGUAGGGAAGAAGCGAAAGUGACGGUACCUGCAGAAGAAGCACCGGCUAACUACGUG
Molecule: ribosomal RNA, 466 nt
Filed under: uncultured bacterium
Lineage: Bacteria
Description: partial 16S ribosomal RNA
Rfam family: Bacterial small subunit ribosomal RNA
Source: RNAcentral